RNAcentral lists this ribosomal RNA (497 nucleotides) under uncultured bacterium. Its description in RNAcentral is "partial 16S ribosomal RNA". It matches the Rfam family "Bacterial small subunit ribosomal RNA", at positions 28 to 507 of the family's 1533-position model. The record is from RNAcentral.
GACGAACGCUGGCGGCGUGCCUAAUACAUGCAAGUAGAACGCUGAAGAGAGGCGCUUGCUCUUCUUGGAUGAGUUGCGAACGGGUGAGUCACGCGUAUGUAACCUGCCUUGUAGCGGGGUAUCACUAUGGGAAACGAUAGCUAAUACCGCAUAACCAUGUAUGACACAUGGCAUGUAGUUGAAAGGGGCAAUUGCUCCACUACCAGAUGGACCUGCGUUGUAUUAGCUAGUAGGUGAGGUAAUGGCGCACCUAGGGGAGGAUACAUAGCAGAACUGAGAGGGUGAGCGGCCGACCUGAGACGGUGACACGGCACAGAGUCCUACGGGAGGCAGCAGUAGGGAAACGUCGGCAAUGGGGGGAAACCUUACCGCGAAGCGCCGCGUGAGUGAAGAGGGUCUUCGGAUCGGAAAGCUCUGUUGUCAGUUUGGAACGGGUGUGAGACUGUAACGUUCACUCUGUGACGGUAGCUGGUCAGAAAGCACCGGCUAACUACGUG